GACAUUUGGUGCCGAAGACCUGGGUCAGAGGGACUCCUUCAGACCAGUCCCCUGUCUUCACCCUCACUCUGUGAAGAGAUCCACCUACGACCACGGGUCCUCAGACCAACCAGCCCAAGGAACAUCUCACCAACUUCAAAUCGGAUCUUCUUGGCUUAGCAGCUGAAGACUGACACUGCCCGAUUGCCUCAGAAGCCUCCUGGACCUUCAUGGAUGCUCUGGGUAACUCUUACAGUGGAGGACUCAGCCCGCCUGCACUCAGGUGAAAUAAACAGCCUUGUUGCUCACACAAAGCCUGUUGGUGGACUCUCUUCACAUGGACGCGUGUGACAAGAACCAUGUUCAGUGGGCAGGAACUCAGCCAGAUUGGA
Piliocolobus tephrosceles (Ugandan red Colobus) is the source of this 371-nucleotide long non-coding RNA. RefSeq lists it as uncharacterized. The transcript has 3 exons. The record is from RefSeq and is a predicted model, not a curated record. Lineage: Eukaryota; Metazoa; Chordata; Mammalia; Primates; Cercopithecidae.